UAUUUAUUAUUUUUUUUAAGAUUUUAUUUAUUUAUUCAGAGAGAGACACAGAGAGAGAAAACACAGGCAGAGGGAGAAGCAGGCACCAUGCAGAGAGCCUGAUGUGGGACUCGAUCCAGGGUCUCCAGGAUCACGCCCUAGGCUGCAGGCGGCGCUAAACUGCUGGGCCACCAGGACUGCCCCACAGAGCAAUUUUUAAUGAGUGGUCAGGUGCCAAGAAAAAAUUCUAUGGUGAAAAAAAAUAAUGAGAUCCCAUGGUUUCAGCACAGUUAGGCAGAUUUCUUUGCUUCUGAACUUCAGAACCUUUACUGUCUAGUGGAGGUGAAGAGGUAAGGUGAGAUGAGGUAAGGUUUGUAGUAUUUCCCAAUUUUCCAUGGAAUACUGGUCAAUGGUAUUGGAAGCGAUAGUCUCUCAGGGUACAGUUUAGAAAGUACUAAAGCAGUAUUAUAUGGUGUCUUACAGAAAGUAUUCACUACAGGGGCGCCUGGGUGGCCCAUUCGGUUAAGAGCCUGACUCUUGAUUUCUGCUCAGGUCAUGAUCUCAUGGUUGUGGGACUGAGCCCAGCAUACGGCUCCGUGCUCAGCGGAGAGUCUGCUUGAGAUACUCUCUCUCCCUCUCCCUCUGCCCCUCCCCCCGCUUGUGUGCUUUCUCUCUCUCAAAAUAAAUAAAUCUUUUUAAAAAAGUAUUCACUACAGUAACUUUCAAUAUAUUUCCUCAAGAUCAUGCAUUAUAAUUUAUUUCUAAUAAAAAUAUUUUAAAUGUAUCAUUUAAGAGAAAGAUUAGGAAGUUGACUAAUGCUUUGGUGAUGUGAUUUAAAAAAUUUCUGGUGGCACCUGGAUAGCUCAGUGGUUGAGCAUCUGGCUUUGGCUCAAGUCGUGAUACCCGGGGGUCCUGGAAUCGAGUCCUGCCUUAGGCUCCCCACAGGGAGCCUGCUUCUCCUUCUGCCUAUGUCUCUGUCUGUCUCUCUGUGUCUCUCAUGAAAAAAAUAAAUAAAAUCUUUAAAAAAAAUUUCUGAGCACGAUUACUUUUUAUUUUGGCCAAUAAUUUCUAAGUUAAUUUUUCUUCCUUUAUUAGAUCUUUGGAAUAUGUAUUUAUUUUUGGUAUCCUAAAAUUUUGUGAACAUGAUAGUCUAGUCAUUGGGAAUGGCUAAAGGAAAUGCUGUACCAUCUGAGGAUUUUUAAUAUUUGUAGGAUUUUACUGUUAUGCUCCUUAUUCAAUAUUUAUAUGUUGUGCUACUCCAUAAACUAUUCUAAUCAUCAAUUCUGUAGCAAUAGAAAAAGAAAAUCUACAUUAACUCCUGAUCGGUGACUACUUAAAAAUAUUGAAUAUAAAGUUAGAGUAACAACAAUUCAGAACUAGCACCUGUUUUGCUAAAGUCUAUGAUAGAAGUUGGUAAUUUAUUACAAGAUCAGGGCGCCAGGAUGGCUCAGUUACUUAAGCGUCUGCCUUUGACUCAGGUCAUGAUCUUAGGGUCCCGGGAUUAGGGCACAUCAGUCUCCCUGCUCAGCAGGGAACCCGCUUCUCCCUCUCCCUCGGCCCCUCCCCCUGCUUGUGCUCUCUCUCUCACUCUCUAAUAAAUGAAUAAAAUCUUAAAAAAAAAUUUAUUACAGGACACCUGGGUGGCUCAGUGGUUGAGCAUCUGCCUUCAGCUCAGGUCAUGAUCCUGGGUUCUGGGAUCGAGUCCCACAUCAGGCAACCUGCAGGGAGCCUGCUUCUCCCUCUGCCUGUGUCUCUGCCUCCCCUCUGUGUCUCUCAUGAAGAAAUAAAUAAGAUCUUAAAAUUUUAUUUUAAGAUAAAUUUUAAAUAAAUUUUAAAAAUUUAUUACAAGACUGUUUCUUCCCAAAGAGAUACUUUCAUGUGAACCUUAUUGUAUGUGUAGUCACACACACACAUGCACACGCACACACGCACAUACACAUUUCAGUCUCCUAGGCAAAUAUGUGUUUAAUUUCGUUAACUUUUUUUUAGUGGGAAGUUAUGCUUCCUCCUAUAGAAUGUUUAUAAAUUGCUGCUAAGAUUACAACCACAAAAGCUAGAGAAUUACUAAGGCUAACACAGAGUCUGGCACACCAUUGUUCUUAUUUGAGAUGUUUUUGCUGACAAAACCCCCAAAUACAGGAUUGAUAGUGCUGAAGCCCUAUUUCCUCUGUUUAAAAGUUCUAAAAAUUAUUCCACCCAGUCAAACCUAAAAUAAAUAUUCAUAAGUCCUUAUAAUCAGAAAUAUUCAUAAAAUUGAAAGACCUUAAAAUGUGUGUCUCCAGCAUAUGUUUCCUUGGCAUCUGUCCGUAGUGUCUGACCACGUGUAGCUAAGAGAAAAAAAAAUCUUAAGACUCUUUGACAACUGUUCUGC
This 2350-nucleotide long non-coding RNA is filed under the name Canis lupus familiaris (dog). RNAcentral describes it as "lncRNA (ENSCAFG00000058435.1, ENSCAFG00845009490.1)". Lineage: Eukaryota; Metazoa; Chordata; Mammalia; Carnivora; Canidae. The record is from RNAcentral.